ACAGAUCAAUUUCCAUACAGAUAUACAGAUAUUCUCUCUAAUUAUAUCUUCUCUUUAUACGUGUUGUUUACUUUUGUAGAAUAGAGCAUGCUCUGAACAGAAUAUGAGAGGUCAUGGGAAGGAUUUGCUGAGUCGAGCCGGUAGGUAGAACAAGGAACGGAAUUUCAUUGUAGUGGGCUCCGUGAGUCCAGCUUCAUUGGUUAGGCCUUAUUAUUCGUUGGGAGUAGUUUCAGAAAACAAAAAUAAUUGAAACAGGUUGGGUUGGGUCUUCAGUUCUCUCUCCUCCUCUCACCAUGCCCAGUUGCUCAGAGAACGAGCAUCUCCCUCGAAGGAAACCCUAGUUUCCUCCACCGCGAUCGCCGCUGCUGGACUUCUGAUUGUCGGCGUCAGUGAUGCCAGAGAUAUUCGUCUGUUUGUCCUGCUCCAGGUUCGCACCUCAAUUGCCAGUCGCAAGCUUCGUCGCGGUAGUUUUCGAGUCGUCGCGGCCUAUAACCCCUCAUCUUGCUCAGUUGGUCUUUUCCCGCCAUCCCUCGUCGUGGUCAUCUUGCUCUGCCCACUAAAUCAUUAGUUUUGGCUCUGCUAAUAAUAGAGUAAUAAACUAAGGAAAAGUCUAGGGGACCAGCAACUUUUCCAAAUUUUGGCCAGCAUGUAACCAGCAAAGAAAAGUGAGUCAUUGGAUGAAAUCUCAC
Molecule: long non-coding RNA, 689 nt
Filed under: Arachis ipaensis
Lineage: Eukaryota; Viridiplantae; Streptophyta; Magnoliopsida; Fabales; Fabaceae
Description: long non-coding RNA (AIPA_LNC000326)
Source: RNAcentral